GUGUGCCUACGGGGGGCAGCAGUGGGGAAUAUUGCACAAUGGGGGAAACCCUGAUGCAGCAACGCCGCGUGAGGGAAGAAGUAUUUCGGUAUGUAAAGCUCUAUCAGCAGGGAAGAAGAAAGACGGUACCUGACUAAGAAGCCCCGGCUAACUACGGGCCAGCAGCCGCGGAAAUACGUAGGGGGCAAGCGUUAUCCGGAUUUACGGGGUGUAAAGGGAGGGUAGAGGGCUGUGCAGGUCUGAAGUGAAAGCCCGUGGCUCAACCGCGGAACUGCUUUGGAAACUGUAUAUCUUGGGUACUGGAG
This 305-nucleotide ribosomal RNA is filed under the name uncultured bacterium. Its description in RNAcentral is "bacterial SSU rRNA". It matches the Rfam family "Bacterial small subunit ribosomal RNA", at positions 333 to 654 of the family's 1533-position model. The record is from RNAcentral.